RNAcentral lists this ribosomal RNA (837 nucleotides) under Streptomyces sp. IM-7255. Its description in RNAcentral is "bacterial SSU rRNA". It matches the Rfam family "Bacterial small subunit ribosomal RNA", at positions 38 to 889 of the family's 1533-position model. The record is from RNAcentral. Lineage: Bacteria; Bacillati; Actinomycetota; Actinomycetes; Kitasatosporales; Streptomycetaceae.
GGCGGCGUGCUUAACACAUGCAAGUCGAACGAUGAACCACUUCGGUGGGGAUUAGUGGCGAACGGGUGAGUAACACGUGGGCAAUCUGCCCUUCACUCUGGGACAAGCCCUGGAAACGGGGUCUAAUACCGGAUAACACUCCUGUCCUGCAUGGACGGGGGUUAAAAGCUCCGGCGGUGAAGGAUGAGCCCGCGGCCUAUCAGCUUGUUGGUGAGGUAAUGGCUCACCAAGGCGACGACGGGUAGCCGGCCUGAGAGGGCGACCGGCCACACUGGGACUGAGACACGGCCCAGACUCCUACGGGAGGCAGCAGUGGGGAAUAUUGCACAAUGGGCGAAAGCCUGAUGCAGCGACGCCGCGUGAGGGAUGACGGCCUUCGGGUUGUAAACCUCUUUCAGCAGGGAAGAAGCGAAAGUGACGGUACCUGCAGAAGAAGCGCCGGCUAACUACGUGCCAGCAGCCGCGGUAAUACGUAGGGCGCAAGCGUUGUCCGGAAUUAUUGGGCGUAAAGAGCUCGUAGGCGGCUUGUCACGUCGGGUGUGAAAGCCCGGGGCUUAACCCCGGGUCUGCAUUCGAUACGGGCUAGCUAGAGUGUGGUAGGGGAGAUCGGAAUUCCUGGUGUAGCGGUGAAAUGCGCAGAUAUCAGGAGGAACACCGGUGGCGAAGGCGGAUCUCUGGGCCAUUACUGACGCUGAGGAGCGAAAGCGUGGGGAGCGAACAGGAUUAGAUACCCUGGUAGUCCACGCCGUAAACGUUGGGAACUAGGUGUUGGCGACAUUCCACGUCGUCGGUGCCGCAGCUAACGCAUUAAGUUCCCCGCCUGGGGAGUACGGCCGC